RNAcentral lists this ribosomal RNA (402 nucleotides) under uncultured bacterium. Its description in RNAcentral is "bacterial SSU rRNA". It matches the Rfam family "Bacterial small subunit ribosomal RNA", at positions 32 to 409 of the family's 1533-position model. The record is from RNAcentral.
AAUCAACGCUGGCGGCGUGCCUCAGACAUGCAAGUCGAACGCGAAAGUUCCCUUCGGGGGGCAAGUAGAGUGGCGCACGGGUGAGUAACACGUAGGUAAUCUACCUUUGGAUGGGGAAUAACAACCGGAAACGGUUGCUAAUACCGCAUAAUGCAGCGGCACCUAAUGGUGACAGUUGUUAAAGCGGGGGAUCGAAAGACCUCGCGUCUAAAGAGGAGCCUGCGGCGGAUUAGCUAGUUGGUAAGGUAACGGCUCACCCAAGGCGACGAUCCGUAGCCGGCCUGAGAGGGCGGUCGGCCACACCUGACACUGACAUACGGGUCAGGACUCCUACGGGAGGCAGCAGUCGGGAAUUUUUGGGCAAUGGGCGAAAGCCUGACCCAGCAACGCCGCGUGAAGGAU